Quercus lobata is the source of this 647-nucleotide long non-coding RNA. RefSeq lists it as uncharacterized. NCBI's taxonomy places the organism in Eukaryota, Viridiplantae, Streptophyta, Magnoliopsida, Fagales, Fagaceae. The record is from RefSeq and is a predicted model, not a curated record. The transcript has 2 exons.
GUCCCCUCAACGCUCGCACAUCCCCUCACCGAUCGUAGACAACUCUCACCGAUCUCACACUCCCCUCACCGAUCUCAGCCCACUCUCACCGAUCUCAAGCCUAUGUGAAUCCCCUCACUUCAACCCUAUGUGAAUCCCCUUCCUCCCUCCGCUCUUCCUCCUCUUCGUUUCCUUCUCACCGAUCGCUGGCACACACCCAUUCUCGCAAGGCCACUAGCAGUGAUGUUGUUCGCAAACAUUUGAAAUUAUAGUCAGAGGCACAAAGUUCACAACAAAUUCCGCUCACUGUGCACGAAAAUCCAGACGCCUCUCAAAAGCCAUUCACCUACAUUUUCUAUCAUUUUAUCUUGGUACCCGCCCAAUUCCCACGCCUUUUCUUCGUUGUGCUUACUAUCUUUCUUAAAUUGAUGCGUCCUUGCAUCUUUGUAACUCUUUUUGUUGUAAUUGUUCUUUUCAUUUAAUUAUAUAGAUUAAGAUUUAUAUCAUAGGGCUGUAUCUGAGACAUAUGUAGCCGUAUGAUACAAAUUUUGAAAAGAUACUUGUAAAACAAACACAGUUGGAACAUACCCAACGUGCAGUAUUGUAUUGGAAAGGACAGUGGUUUUAUAUUUGAAUGGGUGAAUAUCUCACUCUUCAUAUUGCAUGAA